UCACACUGGAACUGAGACACGGUCCAGACUCCUACGGGAGGCAGCAGUAGGGAAUCUUCGGCAAUGGGGGGAACCCUGACCGAGCAACGCCGCGUGAGUGAAGAAGGUUUUCGGAUCGUAAAGCUCUGUUGUUAAGGAAGAACGAGUGUGAGAAUGGAAAGUUCAUACUGUGACGGUACUUAACCAGAAAGGGACGGCUAACUACGUGCCAGCAGCCGCGGUAAUACGUAGGUCCCGAGCGUUGUCCGGAUUUAUUGGGCGUAAAGCGAGCGCAGGCGGUUAGAUAAGUCUGAAGUUAAAGGCUGUGGCUUAACCAUAGUACGCUUUGGAAACUGUUUAACUUGAGUGCAAGAGGGGAGAGUGGAAUUCCAUGUGUAGCGGUGAAAUGCGUAGAUAUAUGGAGGAACACCGGUGGCGAAAGCGGCUCUCUGGCUUGUAACUGACGCUGAGGCUCGAAAGCGUGGGGAGCAAACAGGAUUAGAUACCCUGGUAGUCCACGCCGUAAACGAUGAGUGCUAGGUGUUAGACCCUUUCCGGGGUUUAGUGCCGCAGCUAACGCAUUAAGCACUCCGCCUGGGGAGUACGACCGCAAGGUUGAAACUCAAAGGAAUUGACGGC
Molecule: ribosomal RNA, 618 nt
Filed under: uncultured bacterium
Lineage: Bacteria
Description: bacterial SSU rRNA
Rfam family: Bacterial small subunit ribosomal RNA
Source: RNAcentral